This 1908-nucleotide long non-coding RNA is filed under the name Salmo salar (Atlantic salmon). RNAcentral's name for it is "lncRNA (ENSSSAG00000100292.1)". The record is from RNAcentral. Lineage: Eukaryota; Metazoa; Chordata; Actinopteri; Salmoniformes; Salmonidae.
GACUAGUACAGUACUUCCCUGCCAGUCCACUCUCUGUCUAGUACAGUACUACCCUGCCAGUCCACUCUCUAUCCAGUACAGCACUACCCUGCCAGUCCACUCUCUGUCCAGUACAGUACUUCCCUGCCAGUCCACUCUCUCAGUACAGUACUACCCUGCCAGUCCACUCUCUGUCCAGUACAGUACUUCCCUGCCAGUCCACUCUCUGUCUAGUACAGUACUUCCCUGCCAGUCCACUCUCUGUCUAGUACAGCACUACCCUGCCAGUCCACCAGUACAGUACUACCCUGCCAGUCUACUCUCUGUCCAGUACAGUACUUCCCUGCCAGUCCACUCUCUGUCCAGUACAGUACUUCCCUGCCAGUCCACUCUCUGUCCAGUACAGUACUUCCCUGCCAGUCCACUCUCUGUCUAGUACAGUACUACCCUGCCAGUCCACUCUCUGUCCAGUACAGCACUACCCUGCCAGUCCACUCUCUGUCCAGUACAGUACUUCCCUGGCAGUCCACCAGUACAGUACUACCCUGCCAGUCCACUCUCUGUCCAGUACAGUACUUCCCCUGCCAGUCCACUCUCUGUCCAGUCCAGUACUUCCCUACCAGUCCACCAGUACAGUACUUCCCUACCAGUCCACUCUCUGUCCAGUACAGUACUCCCUGCCAGUCCACUCUCUGUCCAGUACAGUACUUCCCUGCCAGUCCACUCUCUGUCUAGUACAGUACUACCCUGCCAGUCCACUCUCUGUCUAGUACAGUACUACCCUACCAGUCCACUCUCUGUCCAGGACAGUACUUCCCUGCCAGUCCACUCUCUGUCUAGUACAGUACUUCCCUGCCAGUCCACCAGUACAAUACUACCCUGCCAGUCCACUCUCUGUCUAGUACAGUACUUCCCUGCCAGUCCACCAGUACAGUACUACCCUGCCAGUCCACUCUCUGUCUAGUACAGUACUACCCUGCCAGUCCACUCUCUGUCCAGUACAGUACUACCCUACCAGUCCACUCUCUGUCUAGUACAGUACUUCCCUACCAGUCCACUCUCUGUCCAGUACAGUACUACCCUGCCAGUCCACUCUCUGUCCAGUACAGUACUACCCUACCAGUCCACUCUUCCACCAGUACAGUACUACCCUACCAGUCCACUCUCUGUCUAGUACAGUACUACCCUACCAGUCCACUCUCUGUCCAGUACAGUACUUCCCUGCCAGUCCACCAGUACAGUACUACCCUGCCAGUCCACUCUCUGUCCAGUACAGUACUUCCCUGCCAGUCCACCAGUACAGUACUACCCUGCCAGUCCACUCUCUGUCUAGUACAGUACUACCCUACCAGUCCACUCUCUGUCCAGUACAGUACUUCCCUGCCAGUCCACCAGUACAGUACUACCCUACCAGUCCACUCUCUGUCCAGUACAGUACUUCCCUGCCAGUCCACCAGUACAGUACUACCCUACCAGUCCACUCUCUGUCCAGUACAGUACUUCCCUGCCAGUCCACCAGUACAGUACUACCCUACCAGUCCACUCUCUGUCCAGUACAGUACUACCUUGCCAGUCCACUCUCUGUCCAGUACAGUACUUCCCUGCCAGUCCACCAGUACAGCACUACCCUGCCAGUCCACUCUCUGACUAGUACAGUACUUCCCUGCCAGUCCACUCUCUGUCUAGUACAGUACUACCCUGCCAGUCCACUCUCUAUCCAGUACAGCACUACCCUGCCAGUCCACUCUCUGUCCAGUACAGUACUACCCUGCCAGUCCACUCUCUGUCCAGUACAGUACUUCCCUGCCAGUCCACUCUCUGUCCAGUACAGUACUUCCCUGGCAGUCCACUCUCUGUCCAGUACAGUACUUCCCUGGCAGUCCACUCUCUGUCCAGUACAGUACUUCCCUGGCAGUCCACUCUCUGUCC